UGGCUCCCUCUGGGGAUUCACUGCUGCCGCUGCUGCUAAUGUUGUGUUGUGGAUGGAGGAGGAGUCCCCAGGGUCACAAUGG
RNAcentral lists this microRNA precursor (82 nucleotides) under Eptesicus fuscus (big brown bat). RNAcentral's name for it is "microRNA efu-mir-9322 precursor". Lineage: Eukaryota; Metazoa; Chordata; Mammalia; Chiroptera; Vespertilionidae. The record is from miRBase by way of RNAcentral.